UGAAUUCGCAGCCAAAAGUAUGGAAUCGCGUUUUGGACCUAUACAUUUCUAACUCUUUUGCAUGUCACUCAUUCAGUCACAUCCACCAAGAGGAGAAAAAUCGCCGACGAAAUUGCUUUCAGCCGACAUAUUUGCGAGGUCCCAGAUCUAUUAUUUGUAUGGUGUACACACGGUUUAUUGUGUAAUGAGCUCUGUUCAUUUUCUUUUUAGUGUGAAGUUUCACUUCACACUAUUGUGAUGGCUGGCGAAUUCACACGAAUCAGUCAGUCAAUCAUAGAGUAAACUUUCCGGGGGGUGUAUACGAUUUAUGUUCGCAGUGAUUUAUUGUACUUAGUCAGUGCUUUGAAGGUUAUUUAAGCAAUUUUAUUUAUUUUCUUUAAAUAUUCUUUUGUCCUUUUGCCAAGUUCACAAAAAGUUCGAGGAAUCGUUGUCGUUAUUGUAAGUUUUUGUAAUUUCAGAACAUUCGCUUCUCAUGUUGUGUAAAGGAUCUUUCCCCCCGGAACACCCGAUUUUUCUAUAGCAGGGCAAAUGCGCAUGCGCUCUGAAGCCGUAGAUCACGAUCACGAUGCUAGGAAGGAGCGACAGUGUUGUUUUCAAAUGUAUAAAUUUAAACAUUUCAGACGUGAAUAUUAGUAAAUCUUUGAGAAUCUACGCAAUAUAUAAAUUUAUGUUAUGCAUGACGGUCUUUCAAUCAAGUACUGAUAUACUGUAUGUGGACGGUAAAUUUAUUAAUAUACAGAGCUAGGAAGGAGCGACAGUGUUGUUUUCAAAUGUAUAAACAUUUCAGACGUAAAUAAGGAGAAAGUCUUUGAGAUUGUAGGCAUUCGAUUGAGUGCCGAUAUUAUUUUCACGGCAUACUCGUUAUACAGAGGUACAGUAUACGUAGGCAGAAGCGAGACAGUGUUGUUUUCAAGUAUAUGAAUAUUUCAGACAUGAAUAUUGAGAAAAUCUUUGCCCUUUGAGAUUCUACGCAAGAAUACUAUUAUGCUGUGCAUUACCGGUAUUCAAUGGGCUAUUCCAUUUAAUAUCCGUACCCCCCCUGUCGAGGAUCCCUGGAAUUCUUCAGGGGUAAAGGGUUUUGAGCUUGGAAUUCUUCAGGGGUAAAGUGUUUUGAGCUUGGAAUUCUUCAGGGGUAAAGUGUUUUGUGUUUGGAAUUCUUCAGGGGUAAAUGGUUUUGAGCUUGGAAUUCUUCAGGGGUAAAGGGUUUUGAGCUUGGAAUUCUUCAGGGGUAAAGAGGUUUGAGAUUGAAAUUUUUCAGAGCUUGGAAUUCUUCAGGGGUGAAGGGGUUUGAGCUUGGAAUUCUGCAGGGGUAAAAGGUUUUGAGCUUGAAAUUCUUCAGGGGUAAAGGGUUUUGAGCUUGGAAUUCUUCAGGGGUAAAAGGUUUUGAGCUUGGAAUUCUUCAGGGGUAAAGAGUUUUGAGCUUGGAAUUUUGGAAUUCUUCAGGGGUAAACAGUUUUGAGCUUGGAAUUCUUCAGGGGUAUGACAAUGAAAAACAUGUAUCCUCGACAGGGGGGGUACGGAUAUUAAAUGGAAUAGCCCAAUUAAGUGCCCAUCGAUAUUAUUUAGACCGUGUAUUCAUUAUACAUUGUCAUUGACUGUAUAAGGUGCUACAUCACAGAAUAGAUGGCUACGCUCAGUACAAAGAGCGAAACAACUAUUAAACAGAAGCGGGUAAACGUUUGUACGGCAUUUACGAAGAAAAUAACUUGCGAGACCAAAGAAAUCAGUUGAGUCAGAGCUCCUUAUUUAAAUAAGAAAGACGAG
Non-coding RNA from Paramuricea clavata, 1764 nucleotides. The record is from the annotation of a GenBank genome assembly. NCBI's taxonomy places the organism in Eukaryota, Metazoa, Cnidaria, Anthozoa, Malacalcyonacea, Plexauridae.